CCUACGGGAGGCUGCAGUGGGGAAUAUUGGACAAUGGGGGGAACCCUGAUCCAGCCAUGCCGCGUGUGUGAAGAAGGCCCUCGGGUUGUAAAGCACUUUCAGUGAGGAAGAACGCCUGGUGGUUAAUACCCAUCAGGAAAGACAUCACUCACAGAAGAAGCACCGGCUAACUCCGUGCCAGCAGCCGCGGUAAUACGGAGGGUGCGAGCGUUAAUCGGAAUUACUGGGCGUAAAGCGCGCGUAGGUGGCUUGAUAAGCCGGUUGUGAAAGCCCCGGGCUCAACCUGGGAACGGCAUCCGGAACUGUCAAGCUAGAGUGCAGGAGAGGAAGGUAGAAUUCCCGGUGGAGCGGUGAAAUGCGUAGAGAUCGGGAGGAAUACCAGUGGCGAAGGCGGCCUUCUGGACUGACACUGACACUGAGGUGCGAAAGCGUGGGUAGCAAACAGGAUUAGAUACCCCGGUAGUC
RNAcentral lists this ribosomal RNA (465 nucleotides) under Vreelandella stevensii. RNAcentral's name for it is "partial 16S ribosomal RNA". It matches the Rfam family "Bacterial small subunit ribosomal RNA", at positions 338 to 795 of the family's 1533-position model. The record is from RNAcentral. Lineage: Bacteria; Pseudomonadati; Pseudomonadota; Gammaproteobacteria; Oceanospirillales; Halomonadaceae.